This 445-nucleotide ribosomal RNA is filed under the name uncultured bacterium. Its description in RNAcentral is "partial 16S ribosomal RNA". It matches the Rfam family "Bacterial small subunit ribosomal RNA", at positions 354 to 796 of the family's 1533-position model. The record is from RNAcentral.
GUGAGGAAUAUUGGUCAAUGGGCGGGAGCCUGAAUCAGCCAAGUCGCGUGAAGGAAGAAGGAUCUAUGGUUCGUAAACUUCUUUUGCAGGGGAAUAAAGUGCAGGACGUGUCCUGUUUUGUAUGUACCCUGAGAAUAAGGAUCGGCUAACUCCGUGCCAGCAGCCGCGGUAAUACGGAGGAUCCGAGCGUUAUCCGGAUUUAUUGGGUUUAAAGGGUGCGUAGGUGGUUUGAUAAGUCAGCGGUGAAAGUUUGCAGCUUAACUGUAAAAAUGCCGUUGAAACUGUCGGACUUGAGUGUAAAUGAGGUAGGCGGAAUGCGUGGUGUAGCGGUGAAAUGCAUAGAUAUCACGCAGAACUCCGAUUGCGAAGGCAGCUUACUAAGCUACAACUGACACUGAAGCACGAAAGCGUGGGGAUCAAACAGGAUUAGAAACCCCUGUAGUCC